UACGUAUGGAGCAAGCGUUAUCCGGAUUUAUUGGGUUUAAAGGGUGCGUAGGCGGGUUAUCAAGUCAGCGGUAAAAUCGUGGAGCUCAACUCCAUCCAGCCGUUGAAACUGAUGAUCUUGAGUGGGCGAGAAGUAUGCGGAAUGCGUGGUGUAGCGGUGAAAUGCAUAGAUACCACGCAGAACUCCGAUUGCGAAGGCAGCAUACCGGCGCCCGACUGACGCUGAAGCACGAAAGCGUGGGUAUCGAACAGG
Molecule: ribosomal RNA, 252 nt
Filed under: uncultured bacterium
Lineage: Bacteria
Description: partial 16S ribosomal RNA
Rfam family: Bacterial small subunit ribosomal RNA
Source: RNAcentral